Molecule: small RNA, 493 nt
Filed under: Vigna angularis var. angularis
Lineage: Eukaryota; Viridiplantae; Streptophyta; Magnoliopsida; Fabales; Fabaceae
Description: Non-protein coding transcript
Source: RNAcentral
AUCGUCACAUCUCAUUUCAGAUCUUAUCACUAUGGAGGAGAAAGAAAUGUCUGAUAAUCAGUUAGGACUCAAGGAUUUGGAAGUGAUUUAUGAGAUGGAUACCUUGCAAAACAAUAAUGGGUGUGGAUCAUCGGCAUUUGAUUCUGCACAGUUUGCUGAUUCUGCACAGUUUGCAGAUGCUAAUAUUCCUUUAUUGGAUUCUAGUUCCAAAGAAGACCGAGCCAGCGACCUUCUUUUAGGAUUUUCUAUAUAUACUAUGAGAAGUGAAAUCAUUGAGCAUGCAUUUCGUGGCAUGGAUGAGUUGGCAAAGAUUGGCAUUGCAGAGCAACCUUUAUGGCAGCGACAGCAGGGAAACAGUGGCUGUGAGAUUUUGAAUGAUACUGAAUAUUUGAAGCAGUUUGGUGAGGUUGAUACCAUGCUAAGCGAGAUUGUUAAGUUGAUGGAGGUUGGAGAGUCUCAAAAUUUACCUAGUUUUGACACAUAUCAAACUGAG